Molecule: ribosomal RNA, 429 nt
Filed under: Bacillota bacterium
Lineage: Bacteria; Bacillati; Bacillota
Description: Firmicutes bacterium partial 16S ribosomal RNA
Rfam family: Bacterial small subunit ribosomal RNA
Source: RNAcentral
UGGGGAAUUUUGGACAAUGGGCGAAAGCCUGAUCCAGCAAUGCCGCGUGUGUGAAGAAGGCCUUCGGGUUGUAAAGCACUUUUGUCCGGAAAGAAAUGGCUCUGGUUAAUACCUGGGGUCGAUGACGGUACCGGAAGAAUAAGGACCGGCUAACUACGUGCCAGCAGCCGCGGUAAUACGUAGGGUCCAAGCGUUAAUCGGAAUUACUGGGCGUAAAGCGUGCGCAGGCGGUUGGGCAAGACCGAUGUGAAAUCCCCGAGCUUAACUUGGGAAUUGCAUUGGUGACUGCACGGCUAGAGUGUGUCAGAGGGGGGUAGAAUUCCACGUGUAGCAGUGAAAUGCGUAGAGAUGUGGAGGAAUACCGAUGGCGAAGGCAGCCCCCUGGGAUAACACUGACGCUCAUGCACGAAAGCGUGGGGAGCAAACAGG